GACGAACGCUGGCGGCGUGCCUAAUACAUGCAAGUCGAACGAGAAUUUCUUACACCGAGUGCUUGCACUCACCGUAAAAAUUCGAGUGGCGGACGGGUGAGUAACACGUGGGUAACCUGCCCAAAAGAAGGGGAUAACAUUUGGAAACAAAUGCUAAUACCGUAUAACCAUAAUGACCGCAUGGUCAUUACGUAAAAGAUGGUUCUGCUAUCACUCCUGGAUGGACCUGCGGUGCAUUAGCUAGUUGGUAGGGUAAUGGCCUACCAAGGUGAUGAUACGUAGCCGAGUUGAGAGACUGAUCGGCCACAAUGGGACUGAGACACGGCCCAUACUCCUACGGGAGGCAGCAGUAGGGAAUCUUCCACAAUGGGCGCAAGCCUGAUGGAGCAACGCCGCGUGAAUGAAG
RNAcentral lists this ribosomal RNA (406 nucleotides) under uncultured Lactobacillus sp. Its description in RNAcentral is "bacterial SSU rRNA". It matches the Rfam family "Bacterial small subunit ribosomal RNA", at positions 28 to 410 of the family's 1533-position model. The record is from RNAcentral. Lineage: Bacteria; Bacillati; Bacillota; Bacilli; Lactobacillales; Lactobacillaceae.